Molecule: ribosomal RNA, 256 nt
Filed under: Salmonella enterica subsp. enterica serovar Typhimurium
Lineage: Bacteria; Pseudomonadati; Pseudomonadota; Gammaproteobacteria; Enterobacterales; Enterobacteriaceae
Also listed under: 2 other names
Description: partial 23S ribosomal RNA
Rfam family: Bacterial large subunit ribosomal RNA
Source: RNAcentral
GUACGUACAAGCAGUGGGAGCACAGGUUUACCUGUGUGACUGCGUACCUUUUGUAUAAUGGGUCAGCGACUUAUAUUCUGUAGCAAGGUUAACCGUAUAGGGGAGCCGGAGGGAAACCGAGUCUUAAUUGGGCGUUAAGUUGCAGGGUAUAGACCCGAAACCCGGUGAUCUAGCCAUGGGCAGGUUGAAGGUUGGGUAACACUAACUGGAGGACCGAACCGACUAAUGUUGAAAAAUUAGCGGAUGACCUGUGGCU